GAUGAACGCUGGCGGCGUGCCUAAUACAUGCAAGUCGAGCGAACGGACGAGAAGCUUGCUUCUCUGAUGUUAGCGGCGGACGGGUGAGUAACACGUGGAUAACCUACCUAUAAGACUGGGAUAACUUCGGGAAACCGGAGCUAAUACCGGAUGAUAUUUUGAACCGCAUGGUUCAAAAGUGAAAGACGGUCUUGCUGUCACUUAUAGAUGGAUCCGCGCUGCAUUAGCUAGUUGGUAAGGUAACGGCUUACCAAGGCAACGAUGCAUAGCCGACCUGAGAGGGUGAUCGGCCACGCUGGGACUGAGACACGGUCCAGACUCCUACGGGAGGCAGCAGUAGGGAAUCUUCCGCAAUGGGCGAAAGCCUGACGGAGCAACGCCGCGUGAGUGAUGAAGGUCUUCGGAUCGUAAAACUCUGUUAUUAGGGAAGAACAUAUGUGUAAGUAACUGUGCACAUCUUGACGGUACCUAAUCAGAAAGCCACGGCUAACUACGUG
Molecule: ribosomal RNA, 497 nt
Filed under: uncultured bacterium
Lineage: Bacteria
Description: partial 16S ribosomal RNA
Rfam family: Bacterial small subunit ribosomal RNA
Source: RNAcentral